Molecule: ribosomal RNA, 253 nt
Filed under: uncultured bacterium
Lineage: Bacteria
Description: partial 16S ribosomal RNA
Rfam family: Bacterial small subunit ribosomal RNA
Source: RNAcentral
UACAGAGGGGGCUAGCGUUGUUCGGAAUUACUGGGCGUAAAGGGCGCGUAGGUGGCCUGCUAAGUCGAACGUGAAAUCCCUGGGCUCAACCCAGGAACUGCGUCCGAUACUGGUUGGCUUGAAUCCGGGAGAGGGAUGUGGAAUUCCAGGUGUAGCGGUGAAAUGCGUAGAUAUCUGGAGGAAUACCGGUGGCGAAGGCGGCAUCCUGGACCGACAUUGACGCUGAGGAGCGAAAGCUAGGGGAGCAAACGGG